RNAcentral lists this non-coding RNA (155 nucleotides) under Nakamurella panacisegetis. Lineage: Bacteria; Bacillati; Actinomycetota; Actinomycetes; Nakamurellales; Nakamurellaceae. The record is from RNAcentral.
UCAGGAACCCGGCGAGCAUCCGGGGCGGCCUGAGCCACUGUGACCGGGGAGUACUGCGCCACCGAGAUCGGCCGGUUCGCCGGCUGGUGUCAGGCCACGGCAGCGCCAUCGCCGGAAGGCCGGCGACGUGCGUCGAUCCGGGAGCCAGGACAUUG